AAUCUUCCCUUUAGCGUUGACAGUGCCCAACUAGCUGGUUUGUUUGAAAGUGCUGGAAAUGUUGAGAUGGUUGAGGUAAUAUAUGACAAAGUAACUGGGAGAAGCAGAGGAUUUGGUUUUGUGACCAUGUCAUCUACCGAGGAAGCUGAAGCAGCUGCUCAGCAGUUCAAUGGCUAUGAACUUGAGGGUAGGUCGUUGAGGGUGAAUUCUGGACCCCCACCCCAGAAGGAACCUUCUUUUUCUAGAGGCCCACGAGGUGGUGAAGCUUUUGAUUCAGCCAACCGGUUGUAUGUUGGCAACCUUUCUUGGAAUGUUGAUAACUUGGCACUUGAGACCUUUUUCAGUGAGCAAGGGAGGGUUUUGGAUGCUAAGGUGGUCUAUGACAGAGAGAGCGGUAGAUCAAGGGGCUUUGGUUUUGUUACUUAUGGUUCUGCUGAAGAGGUUGAAAAUGCCAUUGAGUCCCUGAAUGGUGUUGAAUUUGAUGGCAGACCAAUUCGGGUCUCUGUUGCAGAAGCUAGACCAAGGCGUCAAUUUUGAGCACAAAACCGUUCGUGUAUUUCUUUGUGGAAGAAUACUUCAGGGAAUUGGGAGAUGAGCAACUGCAAUCUGUUGCUAUAUUGCUGUUCUUCAAACACAUGCCGAAUGAUCCUUGUUCUUAAACUGCUUUUAGGAAUGACAGCCUCGUGCUUCUUAGAAGUAUGCAUCUGGAAUGAACAAGAGGCCUGCAUUGAAAUUUCUUGAUGUAUUUUUUGAUCCUGAUUAAAACUUUUAUAUUUAUGCUAUUUAUAGAGUUAAUGUAUCAGUUAUUUAGUUUGGCUUUCCCAUACAUAUUUUGUUAGAAGAACACCUUUUGAUUGAAAUUUCCC
RNAcentral lists this unclassified non-coding RNA (866 nucleotides) under Hevea brasiliensis (rubber tree). Lineage: Eukaryota; Viridiplantae; Streptophyta; Magnoliopsida; Malpighiales; Euphorbiaceae. The record is from RNAcentral.